Long non-coding RNA from Acyrthosiphon pisum (pea aphid), 352 nucleotides. RefSeq lists it as uncharacterized. NCBI's taxonomy places the organism in Eukaryota, Metazoa, Arthropoda, Insecta, Hemiptera, Aphididae. The transcript is spliced from 3 exons. The record is from RefSeq and is a predicted model, not a curated record.
CAAAAUUGAAUAGGCUAUGUAAUUAUUUCUAUAUUUAAUGUUUCAGCAGAUGAACAAGAUGUUCGAAUUAUUUCUGUGGAUCAUGUUUCUGGAAAAAAACCAAAACCAUUCAAUAUCCUAGGAAACCGUAUAGUUGAACCUUCUAACUAUCAAGGUUCAUGUUUAAAUGGUGGAUAUAUUAUUAAGGAAUCGCCAAAAUGCGUUUGUCCUCCUGGUUUUAUAGGGCAAUUUUGUGAGACAGGCAAAAUUUAUCAUGUGAAUUAAUUUACCAUAUUCCAAAUUUAAAGAUUUUUUCCAUUUAUAUUAAAGUUGCAUAUUUUUUCAUAAUUUUGAGUGCGUUUUAUGUGGAAUA